RNAcentral lists this ribosomal RNA (405 nucleotides) under uncultured bacterium. Its description in RNAcentral is "bacterial SSU rRNA". It matches the Rfam family "Bacterial small subunit ribosomal RNA", at positions 354 to 776 of the family's 1533-position model. The record is from RNAcentral.
GUGGGGAAUAUUGGACAAUGGGGGCAACCCUGAUCCAGCAAUGCCGCGUGGGUGAAGAAGGCCUUAGGGUUGUAAAGCCCUUUCACCGGGGACGAUGAUGACGGUACCCGGAGAAGAAGCCCCGGCUAACUCCGUGCCAGCAGCCGCGGUAAGACGGAGGGGGCUAGCGUUGUUCGGAAUUACUGGGCGUAAAGCGCGCGUAGGCGGUUCGUCGAGUCGGGCGUGAAAGCCCGGGGCUCAACCCCGGAACUGCGCUCGAUACUGGCGGACUAGAGACCGGGAGAGGAGAGUGGAAUUCCCAGUGUAGAGGUGAAAUUCGUAGAUAUUGGGAAGAACACCGGUGGCGAAGGCGGCUCUCUGGCCCGGCCCUGACGCUGAGGCGCGAAAGCGUGGGGAGCAAACAGG